UUGAACUUUUGACGGCAUGCUUUACACAUGCAAGUCGAACGGCAUCACUGGGUGCUUGCACCUGGUGGCGAGUGGCGAACGGGUGAGUAAUAUAUCGGAACGUAUCCGGAAGUGGGGGAUAGCUCGGCGAAAGCCGGAUUAAUACCGCAUAUGCCUUGAGGGGGAAAGGGGGGGAUCCGCAAGGACCUCUCUCUUUCGGAGCGUCCGAUAUCAGAUUAGCUAGUUGGUGGGGUAAAGGCCUACCAAGGUGACGAUCUGUAGCGGUUCUGAGAGGAUGAUCCGCCACACUGGGACUGAGACACGUCCCAGAUUCCUACGGGAGGCAGCAGUGGGGAAUUUUGGACAAUGGGCGAAAGCCUGAUCCAGCCAUGCCGCGUGAGUGAAGAAGGCCUUCGGUUUGUAAAGUUCUUUCAGACGGGAAGAAACGGACAUGGUUAAUAACCAUGUCUAAUGACGGUACUGUCAGAAGAAGCACCGGCUAACUACGUGCCAGCAGCCGCGGUAAUACGUAGGGUGCGAGCGUUAAUCGGAAUUACUGGGCGUAAAGCGUGCGCAGGCGGUUUUGUAAGACAGGUGUGAAAUCCCCGGGCUUAACCUGGGAACUGCAUUUGUGACUGCAAGGCUAGAGUACGGCAGAGGGGGGUAGAAUUCCACGUGUAGCAGUGAAAUGCGUAGAUAUGUGGAGGAAUACCGAUGGCGAAGGCAGCCCCCUGGGUCGAUACUGACGCUCAUGCACGAAAGCGUGGGGAGCAAACAGGAUUAGAUACCCUGGUAGUCCACGCCCUAAACCGAUGUCAACUUAGGUGUUGGGGAAGGAGACCUUCUUUAGUACCGCAGCUAACGCGUGAAGU
Molecule: ribosomal RNA, 851 nt
Filed under: uncultured bacterium
Lineage: Bacteria
Description: bacterial SSU rRNA
Rfam family: Bacterial small subunit ribosomal RNA
Source: RNAcentral